GUUACAUAAGCCCUGACCACCAGGACGCAUUAGAUCCCUCUCUUUCUCCCUCUCUAUUUUAUAGAAUUCACCGAUUCUCUGGAAUAUGAUAGUGGGAGGAGAAUGAAAUGAAACUGUGUAACCUCUGAACAACCCCUGAAGUUUGAGAUGUCUCAAGGCGAGGGUGAACGAGAAAGAGGAAGCACUGAAAGUGAGACUGUCUUGUUUAACUGAAAGUGAGAAUUAUGGUAUUAAAAGGAAGUAGAACAACUGUAGCCAUGGAGACCAGCUCAAUGGAAAGAUGAGGAUAUUUUUGAAGGAUGGGCUGCUAUUGUUUGAGAGAAGGACAUGGAGGGAACAAGAGAUCAAACCCAUGGUAGCGAUUGGAUUGACUCAGCCCUAUACCCCCAUCCUUUCGCAACUGCAUUUGCGUAGUUUAGGGUCAGAAUGUCAAGGCUGUUGCUAUUAGUUACCGAACACGCAUGAGGGAACACUUGUAGAAAAUCGAAAGAACUUAACAAGGCAAAAGAUGUUACAAUAGACAUGUUUUAUAUCAAUGUUAUCAUCCAUAACGUGUUUAAUCAGGAAUAAAACUCUUUGGCUGUUAUGUUAUGGGUGGAAUAGUUUCUUCCGCAACCGUGAUGUUUAUUGCAUGAGAGAGACAGACAUAUGAGCGGAUGAGAGGAGAGAUGAAAGACAGAUAGUACCAGGGGGCGCAGCAGGCCAGUCUGCUGAACGAAUAGAAAUAAACAGACUUAAUCGGAAAAGAGGCAACAAGGAGAAAAGCAGAUCUCCCAGGACCUCAAGCCUCAAGAUGGACACGAGAAGCGGACAGGGAUGAAACGGUGAGGGAGCAACGGAUGGGGGAGGAGGAAGAGGAGGCCGAACAGGGAGCCGCAUUGAACACAGCACUCUGUUUGCUCUCUGGUUGUUCCACUAACCUACUUACUGUAAUCUUCUCUCUGUGUUUCAUAAGAGCCCUGCCAGAGAAUUACAUCACCAAGCUUUUCCACACACAGUCGCUCUCUUGUCAUCAUUGCCAUUUAGGAUUUUGAAAGGUGCACAGAUCAAAUGCACAUGGAGGAACAUGUGGAUUUGUGGUUUUUGUCUAACAUAUUGGCUCAUUAUUUGGUGCUCAGGUGCUUGAAUUGUUUUGACAGAAUGUGGAACACAUGUUUUUGGUUGUCUGAAAUGUUCACAUAUAAUU
Molecule: long non-coding RNA, 1186 nt
Organism: Cyprinus carpio carpio
Lineage: Eukaryota; Metazoa; Chordata; Actinopteri; Cypriniformes; Cyprinidae
Source: Ensembl